UGCCUAAUACAUGCAAGUCGAGCGAAUGGAUUAAGAGCUUGCUCUUAUGAAGUUAGCGGCGGACGGGUGAGUAACACGUGGGUAACCUGCCCAUAAGACUGGGAUAACUCCGGGAAACCGGGGCUAAUACCGGAUAACAUUUUGAACUGCAUGGUUCGAAAUUGAAAGGCGGCUUCGGCUGUCACUUAUGGAUGGACCCGCGUCGCAUUAGCUAGUUGGUGAGGUAACGGCUCACCAAGGCAACGAUGCGUAGCCGACCUGAGAGGGUGAUCGGCCACACUGGGACUGAGACACGGCCCA
RNAcentral lists this ribosomal RNA (300 nucleotides) under marine bacterium SIMO-IS120. RNAcentral's name for it is "bacterial SSU rRNA". It matches the Rfam family "Bacterial small subunit ribosomal RNA", at positions 45 to 333 of the family's 1533-position model. Lineage: Bacteria; Bacillati; Bacillota. The record is from RNAcentral.